RNAcentral lists this transfer RNA (74 nucleotides) under Camelus bactrianus (Bactrian camel). It matches the Rfam family "tRNA". Rfam says of the family: Transfer RNA (tRNA) molecules are approximately 80 nucleotides in length. RNAcentral also lists the same sequence under 1 other name. The record is from Rfam by way of RNAcentral. Lineage: Eukaryota; Metazoa; Chordata; Mammalia; Artiodactyla; Camelidae.
GAGGGUACAGCUCAGUGAAGUAGAGCACAUGCUUAGCAUGCACAAGGUCCUGGGCUCAACCCCCAGUGCCUCCA